Molecule: long non-coding RNA, 912 nt
Organism: Drosophila bipectinata
Lineage: Eukaryota; Metazoa; Arthropoda; Insecta; Diptera; Drosophilidae
Source: RefSeq, a predicted model, not a curated record
GGAAUCAGAACGGAAUUCAGAUCGAAAAUUUCUGUCCGGGUUCUCAGUUAUUGCGCGUCUUUAGCUACGAACGGUUGGAAAUCUCCCUCCAAACUAGAAACCCAUAUACCAACAACCACCACCAACAACAACAACUAAAUCAAAAUGAAUGAAGCCAGGAGUCUGUUCACCACCUUCGCCAUCUUGGCCUUCCUGCUGUUCCUGCUCUAUGCCUUCUACGAAGCCGCCUUCUAAGCCCAUCCCCCUAUACCAUCCAAUACCAUCAUACCCAUCAAUAAAUCAAGGAUACUUAUAUGUUGAAUUUCAAUUCCAAGCCCGCCCGUCCCGGCCAUGUCAAUAACACCUUUUUGGCCAAGACGGCGGCGCUUCUAGGACCCUACGCGUUUAAGAUUUUUAGCAUUUAAUGGAUUUCUACUAGUAACCUAAGCCAGAUGACGUCAAAGCCACCAGCUGCCGAAAUCGGAGGCUUGCCGGCAUUUUCCGAUUCCGAUCAUUUCGAUGAUCGAUGGACAACCCAUGCUGAGUGCGCCGCGCUAGAUUUCUUUCACCUUCGAGGCGCUGCAAGAACGAUCCAUUCCGAAGGCUCUGCUGCCGGUGUUGGCGUCAUCUGUUGUAAUCAUAAAUUUAUUUUUUGAUUUCAAUAUUAUUUCUACAUUUUUGUUUCGCAAUGGAAUUUACUACUUAGUUUGCCAUUUAUAGACCAUGAUGUACAGUAUAAGAAAUUGAGAACAACAUCAGAAAUCAAUUUAUUUCGCAUUCGUACUUAGUAAGACAUACCUAAUGUGUAACUGCAUUUUAUGUACAACUUUACUUUUCUUUAAAUUUUUUGUGAAUAACACAUGCACAACAACUAAAAAAUGAGCAACAAAAACAGCCGUCUGCAGGAAAUAAAACCAAAAAAAAACAACCUAA